CUUCUCUCAGGAUCGUACCUGGAGAGUUUCUAGUACUCUACCAGUCUUGGCUACAGGCGUGAGUGUCAAGCAGAGGUAUACCCAUUCCAUUCCUAGCUUGGGCAGUGACUAGUGAGUGGAAGGCAAGCUGCUACAAGU
This is a small nucleolar RNA of Tachyglossus aculeatus (Australian echidna), 138 nucleotides long. The record is from RefSeq and is a predicted model, not a curated record. Lineage: Eukaryota; Metazoa; Chordata; Mammalia; Monotremata; Tachyglossidae.